ACUCGCUUUGGCAGUACAUACUAAAAUUGGAAUGAUACAGAGAAGAUUAGCAUGGCCCCUGCGCAAAGAUGAGACACAAAUUCGUGAAAAAAAAAAAUGAGAG
Small nuclear RNA from Suncus etruscus (white-toothed pygmy shrew), 103 nucleotides. Lineage: Eukaryota; Metazoa; Chordata; Mammalia; Eulipotyphla; Soricidae. The record is from RefSeq and is a predicted model, not a curated record.